Gossypium raimondii (Peruvian cotton) is the source of this 867-nucleotide long non-coding RNA. RefSeq lists it as uncharacterized. The transcript has 3 exons. The record is from RefSeq and is a predicted model, not a curated record. NCBI's taxonomy places the organism in Eukaryota, Viridiplantae, Streptophyta, Magnoliopsida, Malvales, Malvaceae.
UGCAUCAUUCAUCUUUUAGCUUCUUUCUUUUUGUUUUUAUUCUAUUUUAUUUCUUUGUUUUUCUAUUGGUUUGGGUUUUUUUGUUCUUUGCUAUUCCUUGGAUAAUGGAAUUUCUUCACAUUUUUGUGUGUUGAUUCUGCUUCAGCCAUAGUGCAAAAGACGUGAGAACUCUAACCCUCUAGCAUAGUAGAUUCGAUUGUUUGGUGUGGUUCGAGGAAGUUACUAGAGUUCCAGGAGCGUGGUUAAUUCCAUCAACAAUCAGGUGUGUGAAAACAACCCAAAAAUCUCUUAGAAAUUCGAUUGAAAUCGCGAAAUAGAGGUUGUUGCGAAAUUGACCAGUUUUCACAUAGCCAAGUGGUGGGUCGUGUGAGACACACAACUGUGUAAGGUUUUGCAGACCGUGUGAGAAUAAGCAGCUCGUGUGGCUGGACCAUGUGAGGCACACGGCCAUGUGGAAAGGUUCAGACCGUGUGAGAAUAAACAACCCAUGUGGCUAGAUCGUGUGAGGCACAUGGCCGCAUGGAAAUGUUCAAACCGUGUGAGUGGCCCAUGUGGACCAUACGACCUAGAUUAUUGGGCCGUGUGGGCCUUUUUGGCCAAUUGUAGGGCCCAAUUAAAGGUCAUUUAGGGGACUUGAUAUUUGGGUCCAAGGACGCCGUAGGGGCAAAAAAACUGUAAGUUUAAUACUUAAGUUCGUACAAGUGAUGUUUAAAGCGUGAUAUAUAUAUAUUGUAAGCUAAAACUAAAUUAUAAGUUGUGUUAUGCGAAAAGUGAAUCAUGUAAAUAAGCAUGUCGUGUAACGUUUGCUAUAUGUGUGUAUGUCAUCUGUUUAUGAUAUGUAUAAUAUAUGAAUCUGAUAUGUAUAUG